AACGAACGCUGGCGGCGUGGAUAAGACAUGCAAGUGGGACGCUAAUCAAUGGGUAGCAGUAUUCGUUGGUUGGAGUCGCGUAAGGGUGCGUAACACGUGGGUAAUUUGCCGCGAAGCUCGGAAUAACUUGCCGAAAGGUAAGCUAAUACCGAAUGUGACUCGUGCUGGGCAUCCAGUAUCAGUCAAAGCCGGGGAUCGUAAGACCUGGCACUUCGCGAUAAGCCCGCGGCCUAUCAGCUAGUUGGUGAGGUAAUGGCUCACCAAGGCUUAGACGGGUAGCUGGUCUUAGAGGACGACCAGCCACACUGGAACUGAGACACGGUCCAGACACCUACGGUGGCAGCAGUCGAGAAUUUUUCACAAUGGGCGAAAGCCUGAUGGAGCGACGCCGCGUGGGGGAUGAAUGGCUUCGGCCCGUAAACCCCUGUCAUUCGGGAUCAAAUCUGAUAACCUAACACGUUGUUAGUUGAUAGUACUGAAAGAGGAAGGGACGGC
This 495-nucleotide ribosomal RNA is filed under the name uncultured bacterium. RNAcentral describes it as "bacterial SSU rRNA". It matches the Rfam family "Bacterial small subunit ribosomal RNA", at positions 29 to 497 of the family's 1533-position model. The record is from RNAcentral.